Cimex lectularius (bed bug) is the source of this 2466-nucleotide RNA transcript. RefSeq lists it as uncharacterized. The record is from RefSeq and is a predicted model, not a curated record. NCBI's taxonomy places the organism in Eukaryota, Metazoa, Arthropoda, Insecta, Hemiptera, Cimicidae. The transcript is spliced from 8 exons.
CCAUUAACAUAGCGUAACCUACCCAACUUGUGCCCAGUGUGAAAUAUUUUCAAUUUAUUUAUUUGUUAAUUUACAAAACAAAUAGAUUUAAAGAAAAAAAAUUGUCUCUUUCGAUGAAUACGUUUUGCAGAUUGAGGACGAUUCGAUUAAUCCAAGGUUUAGGCCUCCGUCAUCAAAGCAAAGGAAAUGAAGGAGAAAAAUCCAAUUAUUUCCAGAACGAAAAGGCGACAUCAAACUCGUUUCUCGAGACUUUUGCCAGGACUGGUGCCAGGAAAUUCCCAGAUCUUCACAAGAUGAACCCGAUGAGAUUGAGCUUGAAAAGUUUCUGGGAAUGGGAAAAACGGAAAAGAAAGGAAUUUGAGAUUUACAACCAGAAGUUCAUCCCGAAACGGCAUGACACACUCGGCAACGAUCUUGCAGCGGCUCACUUCAUAGUUUAUAGAAGAGGAGGGGUCAAAUUUGUUGGAAUGCCGAAUUGGAUCCGCAUGAGUUCAAAAGAUGAUACCUGUGAUGCGUUACCAAACCAAUUUCAGAAAGGUUUUCUAUUGGAAGCAGUUGAUUUGUCCAAUACAAAAAUCUGUUAUGAAGGUUUAGAAAAUAUGAUCGAUUUGUGCCACUUAAAAUUUCUUAGCCUCAGAAACUGCCCUCAAGUUGAUGACUGGUUUGUAGACAGGGUCACAAGACUAUUUCAUCAUACCUUGGAGCAUUUAGAUCUAUCGGGCUGUUCUCAAAUUUCAGAAAGAUGUUUUUCAUGUUUUUAUAGGUGUAGAAAACUUAAAACUUUAACUUUAGAAGAUAUUGUUACUAACAAUUUUUUUGAAUUGAGUUGCCUUUUACUAGAAGAAAAUAUGCCCGGUUUAACUGUUUCUGGGGUCCAGUAUAUAAAAAGUACUUAAGUUUAUUAUCUUUUUCCUUUUACAUUGUAAAUAAAUAUAUUACUGUAAUAUGGCAAAGUUUUUAUCUUACUAUUAACAAUGAAUUAAAGGUGAUGAACUAUACUUUAUAUAUAAAAUCCUGACCAUUAUUUCCUCACGAUGAUAGAACUUUUCUAAUGGUUAUUUGUAAAAUAAUCAUUUAUAAUAGCAGAUUUUUCUUGUGAUUUUUAUAUUUACUUCUUAGGAGUACUUUGACCUUUAUAUCCCAGAAGUAUUUACCUAGCUGUUUAACAUUGCCUAAGUAGAAUCCUGUGCGUAUUUAAUUAAUUGUUAUUAAUUGGAAAAUAACUGUAAGUCACAAGAAAUCAGGAUUAUGGAUAACUGGUGGAAUAAAAGGUUCAGCCUUCUUUACCAAACCCAAUUGUAUGCAGAUAUAACUUUGGUGAUUCAUAGUAAAAAUGGACGAUGUGAGAAGAAAAUUUUGGCGCAUAAAAUAGUUUUAUUUGCUGCUAGUCAAAUAUUACAAGAAAAGAUAAGAAAAAGCUUAAACGAUGUACUGGAACUUGAAGAGGACCCAAACAUAUUUCAGUGUUAUUUAGAUAUUGUGUGAAACAUUGUGUUGAGAUCUAUGAGAGGAAGAAAAUGUAACUUUAUCAUUCUACAGUAAGAAGAACAUAAAAACAAGAAAGAUAGGCAGGUCAAAGAUGAUCACAUAAAAUAUAUUCUAAUCCUGAAACAGUUUGCUUCCUUAGAACUUUUUUUUUAAUUUGCGAGAUUUCAUUGAGCUCUACUGCAUAUUGACUUGUGCAAAAAUACCAAUUGAUUUAUUGCGGAAUUUACAAAUUCAACAGUAUAAAUGAAGCCAUUGAUUUAUUUAAAUGUGGAACGCGCUAUAGGAGUAGCGAUGUGACUAAAUAUUGUUUAAAUUAUUUAAAAGAGCAUUUAGCUGCUUCAUGUAUUCCUGAUUGUUUUGAACUUAGCCUACAAUUCAACCUGGUCGAUUUGCAAGAAGUUUGCUUAAGGGUUAUCAAGGAAAACGCUGAGAUUGUUUUACAUUUGUUAAAUUCAAAUAGUAUGAAUAUGAAAAUGCUAAACAUAUUAUUAGAUUUAAAAGAGCUUAGUAUUAGUGAAUACGAUUUCUUUAAAAUUACAUCGAAUUGGAUAAAAACAUAUAUUAGGAAAAUAGAUGAGACAAGGAGGCAUGAAGUGUACAAACAAAUUUUACCAAAGUUUUGCUUUUUUGGUAUGACAAGAGAGGAAUUUGUUAAUGGUCCAAUUAAAUCUGGUCUUCUGGAAAAACACCAAAGCUUGUCUAUAUUGUGCAAUUUGAUUUUAAGACAGGAAUCCCUCUUGCCUAUGCCUGACGGUUUUUCUACAACAAGAAGAAAACUCUUGAGGCGAAAUCCCUUUAUCCUACACGAAGCAAAAUUGAAAGAUCUCCACCUCAGUUCAGAAAGUUUAGCAAACAAAGUUUUAUUUGAAGUCGAUAAAACAAUUGAGAUCACUUCUUUUUCUGUUUUUACAAGAAAUGACAGCUCAGGAACCUACAUGGGCUGGGUUAAGGUACUUCUUGGAGUUCAAGGGCUCAUGA